Molecule: ribosomal RNA, 351 nt
Filed under: uncultured Fusibacter sp.
Lineage: Bacteria; Bacillati; Bacillota; Clostridia; Eubacteriales; Fusibacteraceae
Description: bacterial SSU rRNA
Rfam family: Bacterial small subunit ribosomal RNA
Source: RNAcentral
ACAGGUGGUGGCAUGGUUGUUCGUCAGCUCGUGUCGUGAGAUGUUGGGUUAAGUCCCGCAACGAGCGCAACCCUUGUGUUUAGUUGCAAACAGGUCAAGCUGUGCACUCUAGACAGACUGCCGUGGACAACACGGAGGAAGGUGGGGAUGACGUCAAAUCAUCAUGCCCCUUAUGAUCUGGGCUACACACGUGCUACAAUGGCCGGUACAACGGGCAGCGAAGGAGCGAUCCGGAGCGAAUCCUAAAAAGCCGGUCCCAGUUCGGAUUGCAGGCUGAAACUCGCCUACAUGAAGUUGGAGUUGCAAGUAAUCGCGAAUCAGAAUGUCGCGGUGAAUGCGUUCCCGGGUCUU